Molecule: long non-coding RNA, 793 nt
Filed under: Homo sapiens (human)
Lineage: Eukaryota; Metazoa; Chordata; Mammalia; Primates; Hominidae
Description: HSALNT0342058
Source: RNAcentral
UGCACUCCAGCCUAGGUGACAGAGUAAGACCCUGCCUCAAAAAAUUAAUUAAUUAAUUAAAUAAAAUAAGAAAUCUAUUCUGGAAAUCAGUCAUCAAACACCACAAUUUUGGGAAUAUAGUUUGGACGACCACUUCCUUUUCUGGAAACCAUUUUUAGAAUAAGAAAAUGAGCCAGAAUACACCUUGCCAAAUAAGUUUCCCCAAAUCACAAUUAUGAUUUGGGGAAUGAACACAAGAAUGAACAAAUUAAGUCAUAAAUGUAUGCAAUCAUUUUUGAAUGUCUUUGCAGAGAAAUAUUCAAAGUGGUAAGAUGGAUUGAACUGCCAACCAAAAUUGUCAAUCUUUAUUUCAGUCUUCACUAUUAAGCUAAAAAGAUUCCUGCCUGCCACCCUGUGGGGCAGGCAAGAUGAUAUUAUACAUCUCUUAUAAAACAAAGAUACAGACUCAGAAUGGCUAAUAGGAUAUUGCUGAGGCCUGCCAGGUAUCUUUUGGUGAAUAGAUACUCUUUAUCUUAAGGUAUCUUUUGGUGAAUAGAUACUCUUUAUCUUAAGAUUUGUUGUGGUUAUUCUUGGUCUGCUGCCCAUCUAUAAAAAAUUUAGAAUCCAUCGGUAAAGUUGCACAACAAAUUCUGUUAGGAUUUUGUUGGAAUUACACUGAACCUACAGAUCGGUUUGGGAAUAACUGACAUCUUUACAAUACUGAGUCUUCCCAUCCAAGGAAACAGUAUAUUAUAUUCCAUCUAAUUAUGUCAUUUGGAAUUGUCUUCCAAUAAAUUUUUAUGGCUUUUCUGCA